UCAGCCGCCGGCGGUAACACCGGCAGCUCAAGUGGUGGCCRUUUUUAUUGGGCCUAAAGCGUUCGUAGCCGGCYUGAUAAGUCUCUGGUGAAAUCCCRCAGCUUAACUGUGGGAAUUGCUGGAGAUACUAUCAGGCUUGAGGUCGGGAGAGGUURGAGGUACUCCCAGGGUAGGGGUGAAAUCCUAUAAUCCUGGGAGGACCACCUGUGGCGAAGGCGUCYARCUGGAACGAACCUGACGGUGAGUAACGAAAGCCAGGGGCGCGAACCGGAUUAGAUACCCGGGUAGUCCUGGCCGUAAACGAUGUGGACUUGGUGUUGGGAUGGCYUCGAGCUGCYCCAGUGCCGAAGGGAAGCUGUUAAGUCCACCGCC
This 372-nucleotide ribosomal RNA is filed under the name uncultured archaeon. RNAcentral's name for it is "partial 16S ribosomal RNA". It matches the Rfam family "Archaeal small subunit ribosomal RNA", at positions 458 to 828 of the family's 1478-position model. The record is from RNAcentral.